CCUACGGGAGGCAGCAGUGGGGAAUAUUGGGCAAUGGGCGCAAGCCUGACCCAGCAACGCCGCGUGAAGGAAGACGGCUCUCGGGUUGUAAACUUCUUUUCUCAGGGACGAAGAAAGUAACGGUACCUUAGGAAUAAGCCACGGCUAACUACGUGCCAGCAGCCGCGCUAAUACGUAGGUGGCAAGCGUUAUUCGGAUUUAGUGGGUGUAAAGGGCGUGUAGGCGGGAGGGUAAGUCAGAUGUGAAAACUCAGGGCUCAACCAUGAGCCUGCAUUUGAAACUGUGGUUCUUGAGUGCUGGAGAGGCAAGCGGAAUUCCGUGUGUAGCGGUGAAAUGCGUAGAUAUAAGGCAGAACACCAGUGGCGAAGGCGGAUUGCUGGACUGUAACUGACGCUGAGGCGCGAAAGCGUGGGGAGCAAACAGGAUUAGAUACCCGUGUAGUC
Molecule: ribosomal RNA, 443 nt
Filed under: uncultured bacterium
Lineage: Bacteria
Description: partial 16S ribosomal RNA
Rfam family: Bacterial small subunit ribosomal RNA
Source: RNAcentral